AGAAUAAUUUUUUUUUCAAAUAUAAACAUAUGUCUAAAUAAUUAGAAAACAAACUUGAUUGCGCGUAAUAAAAUUUAAACGUGAAUAUAAUAACAUACCUUAAUUUACCAUAUCAAAAUUUCACCGGUAAUUAAUACAAUAUAUUCAACACAUAUGAAACUAUCAUGUGUAAUAUUUAUAUCAUAUUACCAUUUAAUAUUUUAUAUUUCUUGGUCAUCCUUUGAAACAAUUAAUUAUUUUGUAAUAGGCUAAUUUUUGGCAUGGCCAACAAAAAAUAAAAACUUUAAUAAAGUCCAAUACAUGGCCCAAAUUAAAACCAAAUCCAAAUGACCCAAAGAAUAAAGCCCUAAAGCCCAAGUCAGCCCAAACACAGAACUAAACAGCAAGCAAAACCCUAGUCCCCAAGGUGCAGUCGCCGCAUGCCCCUUUGCCCUUGACCAGCGCCGCACGCCACCACGCCUCCUUCACGCGUCUGACACCACCUGCAAAACGAAUAUCUAAACGCAAGCAGAAAGGACAAACAGAGAAAACAAAUAACAAAGAAACAAAAAAUAAAAAUAAAAAAUCUUGUAAUUUGGCUAUAAAAGCCAUAUCAACAUACUUGUAUUUUCUUCUGGGUUUUUUUCCCAAAAUUUUGGAAUAGAAAAACAAAAGAUCUAAACUUUUAAGGUGAUUUUCGUAUUAUUUAAACUUAAGUUUUUUUUUUAUAAAUACGAAAUUAAAAAAGAGAAGGGAGAGGGCUCACCAGAGUUACCCUGUGGCCGCAUCGUCGGAGUCCUCCUCUCCAUGUCGUCGUCGAUUCCAAAAAGGGGGAGAAGAGGCCUUUCUCUUUCGUUUUUUGGGGUUGAGAAGGCUUAGUCUUCAAACAUUUUAAACGGGGGCUAAAGAGGUCGUUUUGCACCUCUCCGACCACCGUCCACGGUGGAGGUGCGGCUGCCAGACAGUGGCCCCAAUCGGCCGAAGAAAGAAAAGAGAGAGAGAGAGUUUAAAAGUUCUUUCAGAUUUUUUUUUGAAGUUGAAGGCUAAAAUGAAUUUUUUAAAAAAAUUUGGGUCUUUUAUUCAACAUUCAAAAGGCGCCGUUUUUGGGUGGGGGUCCAGGUGCCAAAACGACACCGUUUUGGACCAACCGUGCGCGACCCGACCCGGUUAGAAAGGGAUCCCCGUGUUUUUAAGGCCCAAAUGGGCUAUUUUCAGUUUUGGUUCCUCCUUUUUGUAGCGCCAUUCGAUUAAGCCCUAUUUUAUUUUCUUUGACUUCUAAUUUUACCCUAAAACUUUAGCAUCAUUUCAUUUUGGUCCUAGGAUAAGACGUUGCGCACGGAGGGGUCUGGGGCAUUUGCUAUUUCGCCCUUUACAUUUUCAGCUUGUUGUGAUUUGGCCCUUUGUUUCAUUUUGGUUAUUACAAAUUUA
This 1407-nucleotide long non-coding RNA is filed under the name Gossypium barbadense (sea-island cotton). RNAcentral describes it as "long non-coding RNA (GBAR_LNC004672)". The record is from RNAcentral. Lineage: Eukaryota; Viridiplantae; Streptophyta; Magnoliopsida; Malvales; Malvaceae.